Molecule: ribosomal RNA, 253 nt
Filed under: uncultured bacterium
Lineage: Bacteria
Description: partial 16S ribosomal RNA
Rfam family: Bacterial small subunit ribosomal RNA
Source: RNAcentral
UACGUAGGGGGCAAGCGUUGUCCGGAAUCAUUGGGCGUAAAGCGCGUGUAGGCGGCUUGGUAAGUCCGCUCUGAAAGCCCGGGGCUCAACCCCGGGAGGCGGGUGGAUACUGUCAAGCUCGAGUCCGGAAGAGGCGAGUGGAAUUCCUGGUGUAGCGGUGAAAUUCGUAGAUAUUGGGAAGAACACCGGUGGCGAAGGCGGGUAGCUGGGCCGACACUGACGCUGAGGCGCGAAAGCCAGGGGAGCGAACGGG